Molecule: non-coding RNA, 36 nt
Filed under: Geobacter sulfurreducens PCA
Lineage: Bacteria; Pseudomonadati; Thermodesulfobacteriota; Desulfuromonadia; Geobacterales; Geobacteraceae
Source: RNAcentral
UUGAUCAUUGAGAGGGUGAUCCGCUCUCCGGAGAGU